This 428-nucleotide ribosomal RNA is filed under the name uncultured bacterium. RNAcentral's name for it is "partial 16S ribosomal RNA". It matches the Rfam family "Bacterial small subunit ribosomal RNA", at positions 354 to 796 of the family's 1533-position model. The record is from RNAcentral.
GUGGGGAAUAUUGGGCAAUGGGCGAAAGCCUGACCCAGCAACGCCGCGUGAGGGAAGAAGGCUUUCGGGUUGUAAACCUCUGUCCUUGGUGACGAAACAAAUGACGGUAGCCAAGGAGGAAGCCCCGGCUAACUACGUGCCAGCAGCCGCGGUAAUACGUAGGGGGCGAGCGUUGUCCGGAAUUACUGGGCGUAAAGGGUGCGUAGGUGGCCUUUUAAGUUGGAUGUGAAAUACCCGGGCUUAACUUGGGGGGUGCAUCCAAAACUGGGAGGCUAGAGUGCAGGAGAGGAAAGCGGAAUUCCUAGUGUAGCGGUGAAAUGCGUAGAUAUUAGGAGGAACACCAGUGGCGAAGGCGGCUUUCUGGACUGUAACUGACACUGAGACACGAAAGCGUGGGGAGCAAACAGGAUUAGAUACCCUAGUAGUCC